This 301-nucleotide ribosomal RNA is filed under the name uncultured bacterium. RNAcentral's name for it is "partial 16S ribosomal RNA". It matches the Rfam family "Bacterial small subunit ribosomal RNA", at positions 509 to 807 of the family's 1533-position model. The record is from RNAcentral.
CAGCCGCCGCGGUAAUACGUAGGUGGCGAGCGUUGUCCGGAUUUAUUGGGCGUAAAGGGAGUGUAGGCGGUCUUUUAAGUCUGAUGUGAAAGCCCACGGCUCAACCGUGGAGGGUCAUUGGAAACUGGGAGACUUGAGUGCAGAAGAGGAGAGCGGAAUUCCAUGUGUAGCGGUGAAAUGCGUAGAUAUAUGGAGGAACACCAGUGGCGAAGGCGGCUCUCUGGUCUGUAACUGACGCUGAGGCUCGAAAGCGUGGGGAGCAAACAGGAUUAGAUACCCCCGUAGUCCCUGUCUCUUAUAC